GCGUUUCGCAUAAUGGUCGAUGUUCUAUUUUUUUCGAAAACAAUGUCGGAUUAAUGCAAGGGGAAAUUCUAUCACCUCUUUUGUUUUCACUUUUCGUAACCGAUUUUGAAACUUCUUUUAUAGAGAGUGGUGCUAAAGCCUGUGAUUUCGGUGAAUUAAGCUUAUUUCUCCUUAUGUACGCAGAUGAUAUUGUCAUGAUUUCUGAAUCGGUGGAAGGUCUUCAAAGUCUUUUAGAUAGCCUAUAUGAUCUAUACAUUGCAUAUAUUAAGCAUCACUCAUACAUGAUUUCUAGUGUUUUGUUUGAACAAAUACGAACAUGUAAUUCGAAAAAAAUGUUUGUUACAUUUAGUAAUGGGUUGAACUUUGACAAAUAAUGACACGAAAAACAUGUAACGUGUCCUUUUGUAGGUUGAAAGUCGACACACCAACCAAUGAAAGCUAAAGAAAAAGUCCAAGUUUGAGUAAAUUUUAAUUCCGGAGACGUCGGCAUGUUAUAAUGACGUGACGUCAUCGUUCUGUCCAUUGUUCGAUUGUUCUACGUCAUUUAUUUUCAAAUCCAAGUUUGUUCAAAAUCUCGCUUGGCACUUCCUAAGGAGAAUCCUGUGGCACUCAAUGGGUUUGACAACGUAACAUAUCAAAAUCAUGAAGAAAGGAUCUUCAAACUCAAUGGUAUAAAUGUGGAGGUUCCGGGGUAUGGUCACGUGAUUGCAGACAUUGCUUAUGGAGGGUCUUUUUUCGCCUUUGUGACUGACAGCCAGUUCAACUUCCGGUUGACAGAGGUUGCUCCGGAAGUCGUUAAAGCUGCUGCAGCGGCCACAACGGACGCCCUGAAGAAGCAGCUGAAACUUAGUCAUCCCAAGAGUAACGACCUCGCCUUCCUGUUCGGUACCAUCAUAACAGACGGGCAGGAUGAGCGGACGGACAUUUCGUCAACACAUCUGUGUGUUUGCAGAGAAACAGCUUGACAGAUCCCCUUGUGGUUCUGGCACGACUGCUAGGAUGGCGCUACUGUACCACAAAGGGUGCUUCCAGCUCGGCCAGUCUAGAACUUUCAGGAGCCAUAUUAAAUCCGAGUUCCGGGCCAAGGCUGUACAGGAAGUGACGUGUGGCGAAUACAAAGGGAUUGUGGUAGAAAUAUCCGGAAAAGGGUACUACUGUGGAUCUUCAGAGUUUUUCGUGGAGGAGGAUGACGUCAUAGGACGGGGGUUCUUAAUUGAAUAGUGUUGAUUUAGAAUUAAAGGAUAAUCGCACACACAAUGACAAACACUACAAAAACGCACGUGUUCGAUAAUGACAAUCAUUAAAGGGUUUUGGACACAGAGUAUUUUUCCAUUUUCUGUUAGCCCGACCCCAUAAAUGUAGAAACCGACCUCACGUAUAGAUCCGAGGUUUGUGAUUCGAUCCCUACAUGGGCUUCCGAGGAAGAUGAAAUUACCGAACGUCUUCAAGGUCCUGCAAUGUUAUGGUUUUGACCUUGGAAAGACAUUUUGCUCAUGUUGUUUUGGUUAGGGUGUGGCGCCUAUUUUACUAGGGUGUGGCAGGCCUGCUGAGUGUUGUUCCGUGUUGUUGCCACUAACUACUACAAUCAGACUCCUGCAUCGAAAUGACACUGGCUAAAAUACGAGUAAGGCUGGACAUUUAUAAAUUACAUGAGUUUUUGUGACUGAUGUAUAUGUAACUUCAAUAAAAUAUAUUUUAUCAAAAUAAAACUUAGCAUACCAAGGAAUCGGGUGUGUGCUGGGUGCCGGUCAGGUGCGGGAUGAGGAGGACAGAAAACCCACUCACUUCACCCACUACCAUUGACAACACGUGCAUAAAUAGUGGUGAGCUGUUAGAGUUGUCUCUCUUUGACCACAGGCAGUGAUUGAUGAUCUUGGUCAAAGUUUUCACUAUUACUAUAUUAGAAAAUCAUUUGGCAAGUCGACUUCAGUAACGAUUUUGCAAGUCACUUGCUGGACAGAAUAAUUUUAUGAACAUAUACAUAAUAAAUAUGGAUUAAAUCUG
Molecule: long non-coding RNA, 2004 nt
Organism: Pecten maximus
Lineage: Eukaryota; Metazoa; Mollusca; Bivalvia; Pectinida; Pectinidae
Exons: 4
Source: RefSeq, a predicted model, not a curated record